This is a long non-coding RNA of Mustela erminea (ermine), 592 nucleotides long. RefSeq lists it as uncharacterized. The transcript is spliced from 2 exons. The record is from RefSeq and is a predicted model, not a curated record. NCBI's taxonomy places the organism in Eukaryota, Metazoa, Chordata, Mammalia, Carnivora, Mustelidae.
GGUAUAAACUUAACCAAAGAGGAGAAAGAUCUGUAUCUGAAAACUAUAGAACACUGAUGCAGCCUAUAAGAAAACUACUUUAAGUAUAAAGACACAAAUAGGUUAAAAGUAGAAGAAUGGGGAAAAAUACGUGCCAAGCUAAUAUUAAAGAAAAGAAAGCUGGGGUGGUUUUACUGACCAGACAAAGCAGUUUUAAGAGCAAAGAAUAGUACAAGAGAUAAAGAGGGUCAGUUCAUAAAUUAAGGGGUAGAUUAAUCAAGAAGACAUUAUAAUUCUAGUUGUUUUUGCACUUAAAUUCUAUAUGUAAGACCAUGAACUAGGUAUUGUACAAAAUUUUUUUAAGAAGUUAGACAGGACCUUUUCUUUUCAGGAACUCUCUGCCCCUCCUAGAACCUCUGAUCUCAGAGUCACUUCCAUCAAGCACCGAAGACUUUGGUGCCUAGUCUACAUUCCUCUCUACCACAUGUCCAGGAGACGACAUCUAUUCAAGGGAACCCCCUGAAUCUGGACAGGCCCUGUGACUGCUCUCACCAACAGAACAUACCUUCCAGCCACAGUCCUUUCAGAAGCCUUUUGGAAGCCAGCUACUAUG